AUGGAGCUUUAGACACUAGGCAGCCCACGUCAAACUUCCCCUUUCAAGGGGCAAAAACAUUGUGAUUCCUGUCUCUCCUGUCUUCGGUUGGGGCGACCGCGGAGGAUAAAAGAGCCUCCAUGUGGACCGAGGUUACUAGCCUCACAACUAAGAGCUGCAGCUCCAAGCACCAGAAAUUCUGACCAAAAUGAUCCGGCACAGCGCCGAUUAACGGAACA
This 218-nucleotide ribosomal RNA is filed under the name Hypomesus pretiosus. Its description in RNAcentral is "partial 16S ribosomal RNA". The record is from RNAcentral. Lineage: Eukaryota; Metazoa; Chordata; Actinopteri; Osmeriformes; Osmeridae.